RNAcentral lists this ribosomal RNA (569 nucleotides) under Bacillus pumilus. Its description in RNAcentral is "bacterial SSU rRNA". It matches the Rfam family "Bacterial small subunit ribosomal RNA", at positions 503 to 1072 of the family's 1533-position model. The record is from RNAcentral. Lineage: Bacteria; Bacillati; Bacillota; Bacilli; Caryophanales; Bacillaceae.
ACGUGCCAGCAGCCGCGGUAAUACGUAGGUGGCAAGCGUUGUCCGGAAUUAUUGGGCGUAAAGGGCUCGCAGGCGGUUUCUUAAGUCUGAUGUGAAAGCCCCCGGCUCAACCGGKGAGGGUCAUUGGAAACUGGGAAACUUGAGUGCAGAAGAGGAGAGUGGAAUUCCACGUGUAGCGGUGAAAUGCGUAGAGAUGUGGAGGAACACCAGUGGCGAAGGCGACUCUCUGGUCUGUAACUGACGCUGAGGAGCGAAAGCGUGGGGAGCGAACAGGAUUAGAUACCCUGGUAGUCCACGCCGUAAACGAUGAGUGCUAAGUGUUAGGGGGUUUCCGCCCCUUAGUGCUGCAGCUAACGCAUUAAGCACUCCGCCUGGGGAGUACGGUCGCAAGACUGAAACUCAAAGGAAUUGACGGGGGCCCGCACAAGCGGUGGAGCAUGUGGUUUAAUUCGAAGCAACGCGAAGAACCUUACCAGGUCUUGACAUCCUCUGACAACCCUAGAGAUAGGGCUUUCCCUUCGGGGACAGAGUGACAGGUGGUGCAUGGUGUCGUCAGCUCGGUCUUCAGA